GGCUCUGGGGUGACGCGCGGGUUCCUUCCUGAGGGGGCACGGGACGACCCCAGCCCCACAUCGCCACCAGGCCCCACCUUCUCCGCGCCCGGCGGCUAAAAAUACUCCCCACAGAUUUGCACCAGAGGCACAAGGAGAAUUUGACACACUUGCUGCAAAGAGGUUUUCAUGCCCUGAACGUGAAACCACCAGGACUGGCUGAAGGACACUCUGUGCCCAGGGACUGGGGAGCUGAGACCUGAAAUGGAAUUUCACUAGAGAUCCUACCAACAUUAAAUACUCUGUGAAGCCUC
RNAcentral lists this long non-coding RNA (293 nucleotides) under Cyanistes caeruleus (blue tit). Its description in RNAcentral is "lncRNA (ENSCCEG00000014072.1)". The record is from RNAcentral. Lineage: Eukaryota; Metazoa; Chordata; Aves; Passeriformes; Paridae.